GACGAACGCUGGCGGCGUGCCUAAUACAUGCAAGUAGAACGCUGAAGAGAGGAGCUUGCUCUUCUUGGAUGAGUUGCGAACGGGUGAGUAACGCGUAGGUAACCUGCCUUGUAGCGGGGGAUAACUAUUGGAAACGAUAGCUAAUACCGCAUAACAAUGGAUGACACAUGUCAUUUAUUUGAAAGGGGCAAUUGCUCCACUACAAGAUGGACCUGCGUUGUAUUAGCUAGUAGGUGAGGUAAUGGCUCACCUAGGCGACGAUACAUAGCCGAACUGAGAGGGGGCUCGGCCCCACUGGGACUGGGACCCGGCCCAGACUCCUUCGGGAGGCAGCAGUAGGGAAUCUUCGGCAAUGGGGGCAAACCUGACCGAGAAACGCCGCGUGAGUGCAGAAGGUUUUCGGAUCGUAAAGCUCUGUUGUAAGUCAAGAACGGGUGUGAGAGUGGAAAGUUCACACUGUGACGGUAGCUUACCAGAAAGGGACGGCUAACUACGUG
RNAcentral lists this ribosomal RNA (497 nucleotides) under uncultured bacterium. Its description in RNAcentral is "partial 16S ribosomal RNA". It matches the Rfam family "Bacterial small subunit ribosomal RNA", at positions 28 to 507 of the family's 1533-position model. The record is from RNAcentral.